GAUGAAGAACGCAGCGAAAUGCGAUAACUAAUGUGAAUUGCAGAAUUCAGUGAAUCAUCGAGUCUUUGAACGCACAUUGCGCCCCCUGGUAUUCCGGGGGGCAUGCCUGUCCGAGCGUCAUUGCUGCCCUCAAGCACGGCUUGUGUGUUGGGCUCCGUCCCCCCGGGGACGGGCCCGAAAGGCAGCGGCGGCACCGAGUCCGGUCCUCGAGCGUAUGGGGCUUUGUCACCCGCUCUGUAGGCCCGGCCGGCGCCAGCCGACAACCCAUCAUCCUUUUCAGGUUGACCUCGGAUCAGGUAGGGACACCCGCUGAACUUAAGCAUAUCAAUAAGCGGAGGA
This 339-nucleotide unclassified non-coding RNA is filed under the name soil metagenome. RNAcentral's name for it is "partial contains 5.8S ribosomal RNA, internal transcribed spacer 2, and large subunit ribosomal RNA". The stretch from base 1 to 120 matches the Rfam family "5.8S ribosomal RNA", at positions 35 to 154 of the family's 154-position model. The record is from RNAcentral.